AGUGAACGCUGGCGGUAGGCCUAACACAUGCAAGUCGAACGGCAGCACCGUAAGAGCUUGCUCUUACGGGUGGCGAGUGGCGUACGGGUGAGGAAUACAUCGGAAUCUACUUUUUCGUGGGGGAUAACGUAGGGAAACUUACGCUAAUACCGCAUACGACCUACGGGUGAAAGCAGGGGAUCUUCGGACCUUGCGCGAUUGAAUGAGCCGAUGUCGGAUUAGCUAGUUGGCGGGGUAAAGGCCCACCCAGGCGACGAUCCGUAGCUGGUCUGAGAGGAUGGUCAGCCACACUGGAACUGAGACACGGUCCAGACUCCUACGGGAGGCAGCAGUGGGGAAUAUUAGACAAUAGGCGCAAGCCUGAUCCAGCCAUACCGCGUGGGUGAAGAAGGCCUUCGGGUUGUAAAGCCCUUUUGUUGGGAAAGAAAAGCAGCAGGUUAAUACCCCGCUGUUCUGACGGUACCCAAAGAAUAAGCACCGGCUAACUUCGUG
RNAcentral lists this ribosomal RNA (492 nucleotides) under uncultured bacterium. RNAcentral's name for it is "partial 16S ribosomal RNA". It matches the Rfam family "Bacterial small subunit ribosomal RNA", at positions 29 to 507 of the family's 1533-position model. The record is from RNAcentral.